Molecule: long non-coding RNA, 415 nt
Filed under: Setaria viridis
Lineage: Eukaryota; Viridiplantae; Streptophyta; Magnoliopsida; Poales; Poaceae
Description: long non-coding RNA (SVIR_LNC008393)
Source: RNAcentral
CAUGCUAUUCUUCCUUCGUCUCGAUGACGUUUGAAGACGCUCUAGGUGGCCUGCUGAUCCUAAAGCAACCUUACGUGCGCCUGCCCCGAUAGGAUCCUUCCCGUGCGAGCGUUCGAAGGUCUACCGUCAGCUUACCCGACAACCGAUCAAACCGGUCCCUGUAACCGGUCAGACCGGCCUGCACCGAGAUGCUGUAGCGAGCCCCUUCACGCGCCGCACGGUCGUGUGCGUUCGUGUGUUGGCCCAAAAUAACGUCAACAACCACGAAACGUUACCCGUUUCAGAACCUGACGCACGAAUCGUAAAGGGAUCUCGGCCACACAAAACUGAGUGAAAACAAUACGGGUAAUCACCCGAGAGACGGUUAGAAAUUCUGUUUUAGAGUGCACUGCCGUUGGCUUGGCCGGUUGGCCCG